GCCUUCGUGGUGUAGUGGUCAGCACAAUCGACGCGUAACCGAGAGGUCCAUGGUUCGAUUCCCGCGAAGGUG
Non-coding RNA from Stegodyphus mimosarum, 72 nucleotides. Lineage: Eukaryota; Metazoa; Arthropoda; Arachnida; Araneae; Eresidae. The record is from Rfam.